This 512-nucleotide ribosomal RNA is filed under the name uncultured bacterium. RNAcentral's name for it is "partial 16S ribosomal RNA". It matches the Rfam family "Bacterial small subunit ribosomal RNA", at positions 30 to 523 of the family's 1533-position model. The record is from RNAcentral.
AUUGAACGCUGGCGGCGUGCUUAACACAUGCAAGUCGUACGCGAAAGGGACUUCGGUCCCGAGUAAAGUGGCGCACGGGUGAGUAACACGUGGAUAAUCUGCCUCUAUGAUGGGGAUAACAGUUGGAAACGACUGCUAAUACCGAAUACGCUCAUGAUGAACUUUAUGAGGAAAGGUGGCCUCUGCUUGCAAGCUAUCGCAUAGAGAUGAGUCCGCGUCCCAUUAGCUAGUUGGUGGGGUAACGGCCUACCAAGGCAACGAUGGGUAGCCGAUCUGAGAGGAGGAUCGGCCACACUGGAACUGGAACACGGUCCAGACUCCUACGGGAGGCAGCAGUGGGGAAUAUUGCGCAAUGGGCGAAAGCCUGACGCAGCGACGCCGCGUGAGGGAUGAAGGUCUUCGGAUCGUAAACCUCUGUCAGAAGGGAAGAAACUAGGGUGCUCUAAUCAUCAUCCUACUGACGGUACCUUCAAAGGAAGCACCGGCUAACUCCGUGCCAGCCGCCGCCGUAA